UACAUGCAAGUCGAGCGAAUGUGAUUGAGAGCUUGCUCUCAAGAAGUUAGCGGCGGACGGGUGAGUAACACGUGGGUAACCUGCCCAUAAGACUGGGAUAACUCCGGGAAACCGGGGCUAAUACCGGAUAACAUUUUGAACUGCAUGGUUCAAAAUUGAAAGGCGGCUUCGGCUGUCACUUAUGGAUGGACCCGCGUCGCAUUAGCUAGUUGGUGAGGUAACGGCUCACCAA
This 232-nucleotide ribosomal RNA is filed under the name Bacillus thuringiensis. Its description in RNAcentral is "partial 16S ribosomal RNA". It matches the Rfam family "Bacterial small subunit ribosomal RNA", at positions 52 to 271 of the family's 1533-position model. The record is from RNAcentral. Lineage: Bacteria; Bacillati; Bacillota; Bacilli; Caryophanales; Bacillaceae.